Molecule: ribosomal RNA, 424 nt
Filed under: Fusobacteriota bacterium
Lineage: Bacteria; Fusobacteriati; Fusobacteriota
Description: Fusobacteria bacterium partial 16S ribosomal RNA
Rfam family: Bacterial small subunit ribosomal RNA
Source: RNAcentral
UGAGGAAUAUUGGUCAAUGGGCGAGAGCCUGAACCAGCCAAGUCGCGUGAAGGAAGACAGUCCUAAGGAUUGUAAACUUCUUUUAUACGGGAAUAACGGGCGAUACGAGUAUUGCAUUGAAUGUACCGUAAGAAUAAGCAUCGGCUAACUCCGUGCCAGCAGCCGCGGUAAUACGGAGGAUGCGAGCGUUAUCCGGAUUUAUUGGGUUUAAAGGGUGCGUAGGUUGUUCGGUAAGUCAGCGGUGAAACCUGAGCGCUCAACGUUCAGCCUGCCGUUGAAACUGCCGGGCUUGAGUUCAGUGGCGGCAGGCGGAAUUCGUGGUGUAGCGGUGAAAUGCAUAGAUAUCACGAGGAACUCCGAUUGCGAAGGCAGCUUGCCAUACUGCGACUGACACUGAAGCACGAAGGCGUGGGUGUCAAACAGG